UCACAGUUCGCAGCACUAGAACCCAC
This 26-nucleotide non-coding RNA is filed under the name Homo sapiens (human). Lineage: Eukaryota; Metazoa; Chordata; Mammalia; Primates; Hominidae. The record is from RNAcentral.